GUGGGGAAUAUUGGACAAUGGGGGGAACCCUGAUCCAGCCAUGCCGCGUGUGUGAAGAAGGCCCUUUGGUUGUAAAGCACUUUAAGCGAGGAGGAGGCUACCGAGAUUAAUACUCUUGGAUAGUGGACGUUACUCGCAGAAUAAGCACCGGCUAACUCUGUGCCAGCAGCCGCGGUAAUACAGAGGGUGCAAGCGUUAAUCGGAUUUACUGGGCGUAAAGCGCGCGUAGGUGGCCAAUUAAGUCAAAUGUGAAAUCCCCGAGCUUAACUUGGGAAUUGCAUUCGAUACUGGUUGGCUAGAGUAUGGGAGAGGAUGGUAGAAUUCCAGGUGUAGCGGUGAAAUGCGUAGAGAUCUGGAGGAAUACCGAUGGCGAAGGCAGCCAUCUGGCCUAAUACUGACACUGAGGUGCGAAAGCAUGGGGAGCAAACAGGAUUAGAAACCCGUGUAGUCC
Molecule: ribosomal RNA, 451 nt
Filed under: uncultured bacterium
Lineage: Bacteria
Description: partial 16S ribosomal RNA
Rfam family: Bacterial small subunit ribosomal RNA
Source: RNAcentral